AGGGUUUGAUCAUGGCUCAGGACGAACGCUGGCGGCGUGCCUAAUACAUGCAAGUAGAACGCUGAAGGAGGAGCUUGCUUCUCUGGAUGAGUUGCGAACGGGUGAGUAACGCGUAGGUAACCUGCCUGGUAGCGGGGGAUAACUAUUGGAAACGAUAGCUAAUACCGCAUAACAGUAGAUGUUGCAUGACAUUUGCUUAAAAGGUGCAAUUGCAUCACUACCAGAUGGACCUGCGUUGUAUUAGCUAGUUGGUGGGGUAACGGCUCACCAAGGCGACGAUACAUAGCCGACCUGAGAGGGUGAUCGGCCACACUGGGACUGAGACACGGCCCAGACUCCUACGGGAGGCAGCAGUAGGGAAUCUUCGGCAAUGGACGGAAGUCUGACCGAGCAACGCCGCGUGAGUGAAGAAGGUUUUCGGAUCGUAAAGCUCUGUUGUAAGAGAAGAACGAGUGUGAGAGUGGAAAGUUCACACUGUGACGGUAUCUUACCAGAAAGGGACGGCUAACUACGUGCCAGCAGCCGCGGUAAUACG
This 535-nucleotide ribosomal RNA is filed under the name uncultured Bacillota bacterium. RNAcentral describes it as "SSU rRNA". It matches the Rfam family "Bacterial small subunit ribosomal RNA", at positions 8 to 527 of the family's 1533-position model. The record is from RNAcentral. Lineage: Bacteria; Bacillati; Bacillota.